GGUUGGAUUCCCAUGUUAUUUUGUCAACCUGGUGGAUUAUAGCACUUUGAACCUAACAGUGAGAAAUUCUGCAAAGCACUUAACACCCACACUGUUUCUAGAAGGGCCAGAAAUGUUUGUGUACAUAGUAUGGUCAUUCCUAACAGAAGCUAUUAAUAUAAUUUAUUUUAUUUUUGGCGCAGUAACAGUGUACCGUCUGAAGAAAAUCUUCAUGCCCUCCCUGAAUGCCAUACAAGUGUGGCUCACUCUUAUUGGGGGACACUCAACACUUUACCUGUCCAUCGCCAGACUAUGGACACUUCAGCUGUUUGUGCAUGUUUUGAGCUUUAAGCAGAUAUUUCUAGCAGCCUUUGUUUACCUGUUUCAUUUCAUGCUGUCAUAUGUCCAUGUACACGUGUUUAUAUCUAGGUAUGUGCCCCAGUGGCAAGCAAAUGAUAUGGAACAGAAAAUACCUGAAGGCAGCUCUCUAGAAAAACUGGUGUUGUUCUACAGACCAAUUUUGGCCAACAUUCAAAUGUCCCUACUGGCUCUGGAAAUGCUGGUGUUCUCACUGAGUGUCAUGAUGGCAGUUUGUAAUUCUUUUUACAUCCUGGUAUCAGAUGCAGUGUUUGGUGCUGUCAACCUAUUCCUCAUCAUAUCUCUGGUGUGGCAUAUCGGGGCAGAAGUGUUCCUGGCCAAGUACCUAAGACAUCAUGUUGGAUUUUACAUUGGGCUUUUUGUGGCAUAUGUUAUUAUGCUUCUCCCUGUUAUCAGAUAUGAUGCCAUCUUUGUCACCUCGCGGCUUCACAAACCAAUUACUAUUAAUAUGACAAUAAUUCCCAUAAUAUGUCUAAUAAUAAUUGUUGUGAGAAUCAUCAGACUCAGAUCACAGACCAGCACCAAGGUGACUUAUAAGAAAUUGGGUAUUAGCGGCGCCAUGGAAGCACAACCUUUCCAGUCUAUCCCACAACCCCCCAGAGCAAAAUAUACAGACUUGGAGACAGAAUCAGAAGAUGAACUAUAAACAUUUUAUUAAAGUAAUUAAAGCAAAU
This 1031-nucleotide non-coding RNA is filed under the name synthetic construct. The record is from RNAcentral.